RNAcentral lists this ribosomal RNA (301 nucleotides) under uncultured bacterium. Its description in RNAcentral is "partial 16S ribosomal RNA". It matches the Rfam family "Bacterial small subunit ribosomal RNA", at positions 509 to 807 of the family's 1533-position model. The record is from RNAcentral.
CAGUCGCCACGGGAAUACGGAGGGUGCAAGCGUUAAUCGGAAUUACUGGGCGUAAAGCGCACGCAGGCGGUUUGUUAAGUCAGAUGUGGAAUCCCCGGGCUCAACCUGGGAACUGCAUCUGAUACUGGCAAGCUUGAGUCUCGUAGAGGGGGGUAGAAUUCCAGGUGUAGCGGUGAAAUGCGUAGAGAUCUGGAGGAAUACUGGUGGCGAAGGCGGCCCCCUGGACGAAGACUGACGCUCAGGUGCGAAAGCGUGGGGAGCAAACAGGAUUAGAUACCCCGGUAGUCCCUGUCUCUUAUAC